UCCAUGCUGUAAACGAUGAGAACUUGCUGUUGGGUGCAUAAAAGCAUUUAGUAGCGAAGCUAACGCGAUAAGUUCUCCGCCUGGGGAGUACGGCCGCAAGGCUAAAACUCAAAGGAAUUGACGGGGGCCCGCACAAGCGGUGGAGCAUGUGGUUUAAUUCGAUGCAACGCGAAGAACCUUACCUACUCUUGAAUCCACGGAAAUCUGCAGAGAUGCGGAUGUGCCUUCGGGAACCGUGAGACAGGUGCUGCAUGGCUGUCGUCAGCCUGUGUCG
RNAcentral lists this ribosomal RNA (274 nucleotides) under uncultured bacterium. Its description in RNAcentral is "partial 16S ribosomal RNA". It matches the Rfam family "Bacterial small subunit ribosomal RNA", at positions 794 to 1067 of the family's 1533-position model. The record is from RNAcentral.